CUGUCUACCUCCAAGAAAUUAGCUGCCUAGUUACCAGAAAUCCAAGCCAUCCUGAGAAAAGAAGAUUCUCUCACAGUAGGGGGAAUUCAGUCCAAUUCACAUGGUGCAGGAGAUUAAUUGAGUCAGUGAGCAAAAGCCACUUGCAAGAGACCAAUCGUCAUUGCACAGAAGAUUUCCAGAAUCAUCUCUUUCAGGGUUCAAUGUUGCUCACACUCAAGUCAUGGAGUGCAUCACUUUUAAGUGGGAAUAGGAUCCUACUCUUGAACAAGAGUAGUGGGUGCUCAGGCAGACUGUCCAAAGGGUAUAUAGAAUUUCUGCACCUGAAGGCAAGGAGUAAAAAGCUCUCGACCCAAGGUUUAAGAAUCUGAAGUGCCUUCCACAAUCUGAGAGGGA
Long non-coding RNA from Trachemys scripta elegans, 393 nucleotides. RefSeq lists it as uncharacterized. NCBI's taxonomy places the organism in Eukaryota, Metazoa, Chordata, Testudines, Emydidae. The record is from RefSeq and is a predicted model, not a curated record. The transcript is spliced from 4 exons.